CUGCUGCCUUCCGUAGGAGUUUGGGCCGUGUCUCAGUCCCAAUGUGGCCGGCCACCCUCUCAGGUCGACUACUGAUCGUCGCCUUGGUAAGCCGUUACCCCACCAACUAGCUAAUCAGACGCAGACUCAUCUAAAAGCGGGAGCAUUGUUAAGAGGCCUCCUUUCCUAAACAGAAGAUGCCUUCCGUUUAGCUUAUCCGGUAUUAGCAGUCGUUUCCAACUGUUGUCCCAGUUCUUUAAGGUAGAUUAUCUACGCGUUACUCACCCG
Molecule: ribosomal RNA, 267 nt
Filed under: uncultured bacterium
Lineage: Bacteria
Description: partial 16S ribosomal RNA
Source: RNAcentral